This 86-nucleotide transfer RNA is filed under the name Bacteroides thetaiotaomicron. RNAcentral describes it as "tRNA-OTHER". It matches the Rfam family "tRNA". Rfam says of the family: Transfer RNA (tRNA) molecules are approximately 80 nucleotides in length. Their secondary structure includes four short double-helical elements and three loops (D, anti-codon, and T loops). Lineage: Bacteria; Pseudomonadati; Bacteroidota; Bacteroidia; Bacteroidales; Bacteroidaceae. The record is from RNAcentral. RNAcentral also lists the same sequence under 17 other names.
GGGCAGUUAGUUCAGCUGGUAGAACAAACUAAACUCCUAUAAUGGAGAGGUUAUGGUCCGCGGUUCGAAUCCGCGACUGCCCACUA